GUGUAGCUCAAUCAGCAGAGAGUAGAUCAUCGCUCCCAACACACCCCCCACCAUUGGGCCAGCAACUGGGAUCCACCACCAGCAACCAUCCGCUCUGAACACACAGCACAACACACACCCACCAUCGAGCAUCACUCUCCCUACAUCACCACCGACUAUUCUGCUGACUAUUUUCACAUUUUCUGAGCAAACUAGUCUCUGAAUAGUCUGAACAACCUAAAAGAUUUCCUGAUGUUACUAAUCACCCCCUUGGCUGGGCUUGAUGCCCUCAUGCAUCUUUUUGUUGACUUGGUGAUUGCUCUGGCAACCUGUCCUGAUACAGGAUUAUCUGCUUCUACCUACAAGGCUUGAAAUGGAGAUCAAGCAAACACAGUGGGCCAAUUUGUUUGUGUUUAGCUCUCAAAGGAAAAUAUUUCCUGUACACUAAAUGUAGCUGAUCAAUAAAGACAUGUCUGGUGUCUAAAGGGCCUAAAUCUGUUCCAGCACAACAAUGCCCCUGUGUACACAGUGAGCUCCAUGAAGACGUGGUCUGGCAAGGGUCUAGUGUAAGAAUUGGAGUGAUCUGCACAGAGCCCUGACCUCAACCCCAAUGAGCACAUUGGGAUAAACUGGAAUGCUGUUCUACCAUCAGUGUCUGACCUCACUAAUGCUCUAAUGGGCAAAUGCACACAAUCACCCUCUGAAAUCUAGUGGAAAGCUUUCCCAGAAAAGUGGAGGUUAUUAUAACAGAAACAGUAGGGACUAAAUCUGAAGUGAGAAUAGUAUGUUCAACAAACACAAAUGUGUGUGAUGGCAUGAUAUUUUA
Long non-coding RNA from Hemibagrus wyckioides, 805 nucleotides. RefSeq lists it as uncharacterized. The transcript is spliced from 3 exons. The record is from RefSeq and is a predicted model, not a curated record. NCBI's taxonomy places the organism in Eukaryota, Metazoa, Chordata, Actinopteri, Siluriformes, Bagridae.